This 253-nucleotide ribosomal RNA is filed under the name uncultured bacterium. RNAcentral describes it as "partial 16S ribosomal RNA". It matches the Rfam family "Bacterial small subunit ribosomal RNA", at positions 524 to 776 of the family's 1533-position model. The record is from RNAcentral.
UACGAAGGGGGCUAGCGUUGCUCGGAAUUACUGGGCGUAAAGGGAGCGUAGGCGGAUAGUUUAGUCAGAGGUGAAAGCCCAGGGCUCAACCUUGGAAUUGCCUUUGAUACUGGCUAUCUUGAGUAUGGGAGAGGUGUGUGGAACUCCGAGUGUAGAGGUGAAAUUCGUAGAUAUUCGGAAGAACACCAGUGGCGAAGGCGACUCACUGGCCCGAUACUGACGCUGAGGCGCGAAAGCGUGGGGAGCAAACAGG